GUGCCAGCAGCCGCGGUAAUACGUAGGGUCCAAGCGUUAAUCGGAAUUACUGGGCGUAAAGCGUGCGCAGGCGGUUGUGCAAGACCGAUGUGAAAUCCCCGGGCGUUAACCUGGGAAUUGCAUUGGUGACUGCACGGCUAGAGUGUGUCAGAGGGGGUAGGAAUUCCACGUGUAGCAGUGAAAUAGCGUAGAGAUGUGGAGGAAUACCGAUGGCGAAGGCAGCCCCCUCGGGAGUAACACUGACGCUCAUGCACGAAAGCGUGGGGAGGCAAACAGGAUUAGAUACCCUGGUAGUCCACGCCCUAAACGAUGUCAACUAGUUGUUGGGGAGUUCAUUUCCUUAGUAACGUAGCUAACGCGUGCAGUUGACCGCCUGGGGAGUACGGUCGCAAGAUUAAAACUCAAAGGAAUUGACGG
This 417-nucleotide ribosomal RNA is filed under the name uncultured bacterium. RNAcentral's name for it is "bacterial SSU rRNA". It matches the Rfam family "Bacterial small subunit ribosomal RNA", at positions 505 to 916 of the family's 1533-position model. The record is from RNAcentral.